CCUACGGGUGGCUGCAGUGGGGAAUAUUGGACAAUGGGGGCAACCCUGAUCCAGCCAUGUCGCGUGUGUGAAGAAGGCCCUCGGGUUGUAAAGCACUUUCAGUGAGGAAGAACGCCUGGUGGUUAAUACCCAUCAGGAAAGACAUCACUCACAGAAGAAGCACCGGCUAACUCCGUGCCAGCAGCCGCGGUAAUACGGAGGGUGCGAGCGUUAAUCGGAAUUACUGGGCGUAAAGCGCGCGUAGGUGGCUUGAUAAGCCGGUUGUGAAAGCCCCGGGCUCAACCUGGGAACGGCAUCCGGAACUGUCAAGCUAGAGUGCAGGAGAGGAAGGUAGAAUUCCCGGUGUAGCGGUGAAAUGCGUAGAGAUCGGGAGGAAUACCAGUGGCGAAGGCGGCCUUCUGGACUGACACUGACACUGAGGUGCGAAAGCGUGGGUAGCAAACAGGAUUAGAUACCCUAGUAGUC
RNAcentral lists this ribosomal RNA (465 nucleotides) under Vreelandella stevensii. Its description in RNAcentral is "partial 16S ribosomal RNA". It matches the Rfam family "Bacterial small subunit ribosomal RNA", at positions 338 to 795 of the family's 1533-position model. The record is from RNAcentral. Lineage: Bacteria; Pseudomonadati; Pseudomonadota; Gammaproteobacteria; Oceanospirillales; Halomonadaceae.